Molecule: unclassified non-coding RNA, 637 nt
Filed under: Lingula anatina
Lineage: Eukaryota; Metazoa; Brachiopoda; Lingulata; Lingulida; Lingulidae
Description: uncharacterized LOC106172656, transcript variant X3
Source: RNAcentral
AGCGCGUGGAGCGUAUUGUGGAGCUGCAACGUCGAGAGUUUAAGGUCCGUCAUACAACUACUACGAUGAGAUAGCGCAGGCCACCUGUACGGCUAUGAACACUAGGGCAGGCUGGGUGUUUGCUGUGAGGAGAAAAUGUAAUAGUUGGACCCUCCCUUGCCAGUAUAUCUGUUCUUCACCGAGUCUCGCAGCCCAGGAUCCAAGUGUAAGCAGCAGAGGGUUGGAGUGCUUCAACUCCCUUCAUGUCUACCAAGAUCGACCUGUUCUUCCAUCUGACAUCCAAUCAGGAACUAAUAUGCUGGGACUGGAAGUUUACCGCUACCAGUCGUGUUAUUCCGGCUCCUGUGGACCGAACUAUUGCUGCUGUCGUUCUAAAUAGAUAUAAAUGACCUUUGACAAUAUACAUGGUGUCCCCGAUGUGUGGGCAUUUAGACUUAAUGCAUGUUUACAUAGAGAACUUGAACAACAUUUCCUGUUAUUGAAUUAUUAAUUAACACACCUCAUUUUCGACUUAUCUGACAAUGACUUUGAUAAGCAAAGAGAAUUUUAGCCGUGAGCAGAUGUGUUGCUGUCGUUUUUUACAAUAGAUCUAGACGAAAAAUUGACUUUUUGAAAUAAAGAGCUUGAUUGUUUCAGA